Molecule: long non-coding RNA, 2053 nt
Organism: Chenopodium quinoa (quinoa)
Lineage: Eukaryota; Viridiplantae; Streptophyta; Magnoliopsida; Caryophyllales; Amaranthaceae
Exons: 2
Source: RefSeq, a predicted model, not a curated record
AAAAAAAAGGAUAAGGGUAGGGUGGGGUGGGGUGGGAGGGUUCCAUCCUCCCUUGUUUAAAUAUCAUUUGGUACGUAGGAGCCUAAGAGCAAAUGAAAGGGAAGAGAAAUGAAAGGAUUCAUUUAUCCCCCUUUAUAUGAUAAAACAAAACCUUUCAAUGUUAGAAAGAUUCGGAUGGAAAAUAUAACACCACUUUCUCCUUCCUUUAUCUUUCCUCCCUACCCUUUCCAUUUCACUUAGCUACCUAAACAAACCGUAAAUGAUGAUGAUCCUUCGUAUUAUUUUCAUUUCUUAAGUGAUGAUCCUCUAAUAAGAAGAAACCUGUCGUGGUUGAGGUCCUUCUUGAUGAUCCUCUCACAACCAAAAAAAAUAAAAUAAAAAAAAAAAAAAAAAAAAAAAAUUAUGUGUAGUACAAAAAUAGAUUAAUGAAAAAUAAUAGUCAAAGUUCACAUUUUCACAUGCUUAGAUUCCAAUAAUGGUUUAUGUAUUCCGUCAUUUAGCCAGCUUAAAGAAAUAAUAUUAUGAUCGUAUUAUUGGAAAUUUGCAAGCCAUGACGCCUAUGAUUGAAUUGUCAAACAUAGUAGUAUGAAACAUUAUUUAAGUCAACAAUUGUUGUUUUGAUGUUAAAUUUGGGCCUUAUGACCAGUUAGGGGUGGGAAUAGUUUGACGAAAGUGAAAUUGAAUAGGUGUAAAAAGUCGUGUUAUAUUAAUUCCAAGGUUAUGUUUAUCAUACUCACUCCCUUUGACUUAACACAUUUAUCAGUAUAUAUGUUAGUCAUUAAUAUCUUAUAGUUUAUUAAAUUUAAAUAAAGUCGUGAUUGUCUUUAGUUUAAAUUUUAAUAUCAACUAGGGCGGCUAUUACGCGAGAUUUACGUACCAUAGUUUGCCAUAUCUGAGAAUCUCUUUUGGCUUGACCAAUGUCAUAAAAAGGUAAGGAAAGAAGGAAAAAAGAAAAGAAAAAGGAAAAGAAAGAGGAAAGAGAUUAAAAUUUCAUACUUUACCUUUAGUGUGGAAAUUAUUUGAAGAUUCAAGAAUAUUUUUAAAAUGUAGAGUAGAUUAGGGAAGAUUUGGACUUAAGAAUAGGAUGGACAUAAGAUAUAAAUUAGGAAAAAAAAAAUUAUACUUUACCACUCAUCAAAACACCUUAUUUUGAUUUAACCAUCCGUUUUUUUGUUUAUUUUAUGAAGGAAAUUUUGAAUUUUAACACCACAAAAAAGGACACUAUAAAAAAAACUUUUAUUUUAACACCAUAUGAAAAAUUAAAAUUUGAAAUUACCACCUAAAGCCAAGUUCCAUUAACAAAACAGUUACUAAGGCCCACUCAAACAGAUAAUUUUUUGAUUUCCUUUUAAAUGGUCACGAUAAUCCCCAUCUUCCGCCCCUUCACAAUUAAUUUGAUACUUUAGAAUGUUGAAUUUUAGCGAAUCGAAUUCAUAAAGGGAAUUGCACGAUUACAGCAAAGAGCAAGAGAUUGAAGCUGCUAUAAGGUUAUGUCAUAUAUUAGCUCUUCUCCUUCAAAGGACAAAAAAUGCCAAUGUGGUGUUUCAUUGUCAAAGCUGACUAGCUGGACUAGGGAGAACCCAAGGCGGAAGUUUAGAUCUUGCAAGUUUUUUGAUCCAAUAACUAAGGGGCCGCAAGAUGUUUGAAUGGGUUGAUCAACAGAUAUUAUCAACAAUUUGUUGUUGGAUAAGAAGCUGCUCAAGGGUGAAGGUAAUGAAUCGAGAAGGGAAGUUGAUGAAAUCAUUUCCCAAAGGAAGUGUUUGCUUAAUGAAGUUGACAAUCUAAGAUGAGGUGUGUGCAAGGCCUUAAAUGCUGACAAGAAGAAAAUGAAUAGAGAAUUCAAGCAAGGAAAGAUGUCCUCCCUGAAUUGUGUUGUUUGGGUUACCAUAAACAUUUGUGUUGCUAUAGCAAUGGGUGGACUUUGUGUUAUACUUAGGGGUGUUUAGUGAACUGAUGAAUCUGCUAAGUUGUCCUAAGUUGUAAUGAAUUUAAGGAUUGGUUAUGUUUGUACUAUUUUUUUUUUUUUUUUUUUUUUUUUUUUUUUUUUUUUUUU